UCUAACCAUAAUAAACCAAUACUCUAUUGUAUCUAAUAUAUUCGUGUCUUGGAUAGCUCCUGGGCUUUGCUUUUAUUUCGCUCGCCUGAUCCUCUUUGUCGUGCUCUUACUUCGUGGGAUCAAGCAAGGUCUAUCUUCACCUUAGACGCUUCUCGAAUCUUUUGGUUUGGAUUCAACUCAGGCUCCAGUAUCUUUGGUCUUCUAUCAGUUGAGUUAUAAGUUUUUUUUUUUUUGUUUCUUUGUCAUAAAUACUUUAUUUCUUGUUUAUUUCUAUUUGUUUCUGGUUUUUUUUUGUUGGGCUUUUGUCUCCGGAAUAUUUGUUUUAUAAUUUGUGUUCCAAUAUUUUAAUAAACUUUUAGAUCACAAAAGAAUACAAAUGAUAUGAAAGUCAGUUAACUUAUCUUGUGAUAUCGUUUAUAGUGAAAUAAGCUAUUUUCAGCUUUAGCUUCUGAAAAGCGUCACUGAAAGUCAUUCUACUUUAAACAUGUUAUUUUAGGUGACACUUAACCAGGAUCUCAUUUAAAUUAGUACAAACUUAAUGUUACAACUUUUUAAAUGAACCUCAAUUAAUAUAUAGAGAAUUAACCGGGUCUCGUAGUCUGGUGGUAAAGGAACCUCGGCUGAGGUGCCCGCCAUCACGAGUUCGAGCCCCGGCCACAGCGGAUUUAACAUGGUUUAUGUUUGGUCUUCAGGACCCUUCCUCGCCAGUUCCGGUUGAACGCGGUAGGAUAAUCAGACUAAAUGAGAGGUCCGGAUACCUAGAUUAUCAAAGAAAAAAAAAAGCGUCACUGAAAACGGAAACGUUGAAUCAAUA
This 814-nucleotide long non-coding RNA is filed under the name Brassica rapa (field mustard). Its description in RNAcentral is "long non-coding RNA (BRAP_LNC003876)". The record is from RNAcentral. Lineage: Eukaryota; Viridiplantae; Streptophyta; Magnoliopsida; Brassicales; Brassicaceae.